Molecule: transfer RNA, 74 nt
Organism: Lichtheimia corymbifera
Lineage: Eukaryota; Fungi; Mucoromycota; Mucoromycetes; Mucorales; Lichtheimiaceae
Rfam family: tRNA
About the family: Transfer RNA (tRNA) molecules are approximately 80 nucleotides in length. Their secondary structure includes four short double-helical elements and three loops (D, anti-codon, and T loops).
Source: Rfam
GGUGGUGUGGCGAAAUGGACUAACGCGUCGGUUUCCGGAGCCGAAGAUUGUGGGUUCGAGUCCCAUCACCAUCG